RNAcentral lists this ribosomal RNA (512 nucleotides) under uncultured bacterium. RNAcentral's name for it is "partial 16S ribosomal RNA". It matches the Rfam family "Bacterial small subunit ribosomal RNA", at positions 28 to 523 of the family's 1533-position model. The record is from RNAcentral.
GACGAACGCUGGCGGCGUGCUUAACACAUGCAAGUCGAACGGAGAUUCAGCAAUGGAUCUUAGUGGCGAACGGGUGAGUAACGCGUAGGCAAUCUGCCUUCUAGAUGGGGACAACAUCCCGAAAGGGGUGCUAAUACCGAAUGUUGUACCGUUUCCGCAUGGAGAUGAUACUAAAGGUGGCCUCUGAAUAUGCUACCGCUAGAAGACGAGCCUGCGUCUGAUUAGCUAGUUGGAGGGGUAACGGCCCACCAAGGCAACGAUCAGUAGCCGGUCUGAGAGGAUGAACGGCCACACUGGGACUGAGACACGGCCCAGACUCCUACGGGAGGCAGCAGUGGGGAAUCUUCCGCAAUGGACGAAAGUCUGACGGAGCAACGCCGCGUGAGUGAAGAAGGUUUUCGGAUCGUAAAGCUCUUUCGUUAGGGACGAACGUGCUCUUUGUGAAUAAUGAGGAGUAAUGACGGUACCUGAAUAAGAAGCCACGGCUAACUACGUGCCAGCCGCCGCGGUAA